This 487-nucleotide ribosomal RNA is filed under the name Ascomycota sp. BIOUG24047-G06. RNAcentral's name for it is "eukaryotic LSU rRNA". The stretch from base 162 to 315 matches the Rfam family "5.8S ribosomal RNA". The record is from RNAcentral. Lineage: Eukaryota; Fungi; Ascomycota.
AAGGAUCAUUACCGUGACGCGGCCCGGGUCCGCCCGGGCUCGCCCACCCCUGUGUACGCACCGAAUUGAUUGCUUCGGCGGGCCCCCCGCGCGGGCGGCCCGCCGAAAGACCUCGAGACCCUGCUCGUGUGGUGACGUCGGAGCGACAAAGCAAAUAGCAAAACUUUCAACAACGGAUCUCUUGGUUCCGGCAACGAUGAAGAACGCAGCGAAAUGCGAUACGUAGUGUGAAUUGCAGAAUUCAGUGAAUCAUCGAGUCUUUGAACGCACAUUGCGCCCUUUGGUAUUCCGAAGGGCACGCCUGUUCGAGCGUCAUGUCGCCAUCAAGCACCGCUUGGUCUUGGGCGCCCGCCGCGGCGGGGCCCCAAACGCGUCGGCUGUCGGCCCUCCGAAGUGCGACGCUCUCGCAACCGCAGGAGGGGCGGCGCGCCCACCUAACCUUUUGAACGUUGACCUCGGAUCAGGCGGGGAUACCCGCUGAACUUAA